This 510-nucleotide ribosomal RNA is filed under the name Corethron hystrix. RNAcentral's name for it is "partial Bacterial large subunit ribosomal RNA". It matches the Rfam family "Bacterial large subunit ribosomal RNA", at positions 19 to 536 of the family's 2925-position model. Lineage: Eukaryota; Bacillariophyta; Corethrophyceae; Corethrales; Corethraceae. The record is from RNAcentral.
GCAUGGUGAAUGCCUUGGCACUAGAAGCCGAUGAAGGACGUGACUAACGACGAAAUGCUUUGGGGAGCUGUAAGUAAGCAUUGAUCCAGAGAUGUCCGAAUGGGGGAACCCGGCAACUAAUGGUUGUCACUCAUUACUGUUAAGGUAAUGUAGAGGAAGACGCAGUGAACUGAAACAUCUAAGUAGCUGCAGGAAGAGAAAGCAAACGCGAUUGCCUUAGUAGCGGCGAGCGAAGAGGCAGGAGGGCAAACCGAUGUGUUUACACAUCGGGGUUGUAGGACUGCGUUGUGGGACGACAAGAUUAUAGAAGAAUUACCUGGGAAGGUAAGCCAAAGAGAGUAACAGCCUCGUAUUCGAAAUAGUCUUUAACCCUAGCAGUAUCCUGAGUACGGCGAGACACGAGAAAUCUCGUCGGAAUCUGGGAGGACCAUCUCCUAACCCUAAAUACUCUCUAGUGACCGAUAGUGAACCAGUACCGUGAGGGAAAGGUGAAAAGCACCCCGGGAGGGG